CCUACGGGAGGCAGCAGUAAGGAAUAUUGGUCAAUGGACGCAAGUCUGAACCAGCCACGCCGCGUGCAGGAAGACGGCCCUAUGGGUUGUAAACUGCUUUUGUUUGGGAAGAAACCCCUUUUGCGAAAGGGACUGACGGUACCAGACGAAUAAGCACCGGCUAACUCCGUGCCAGCAGCCGCGGUAAUACGGAGGGUGCAAGCGUUAUCCGGAUUUAUUGGGUUUAAAGGGUGCGUAGGCGGCCUGUUAAGUCAGAGGUGAAAGUCGGUAGCUCAACUAUCGAAUUGCCUUUGAUACUGGCAGGCUUGAAUGAAGUUGAAGAGGGCGGAAUGUGACAUGUAGCGGUGAAAUGCUUAGAUAUGUCCCAGAACACCGAUUGCGAAGGCAGCUCUCUAAGCUUGUAUUGACGCUGAUGCACGAAAGCGUGGGGAUCAAACAGGAUUAGAUACCCCGGUAGUCA
This 460-nucleotide ribosomal RNA is filed under the name uncultured bacterium. Its description in RNAcentral is "bacterial SSU rRNA". It matches the Rfam family "Bacterial small subunit ribosomal RNA", at positions 338 to 796 of the family's 1533-position model. The record is from RNAcentral.